RNAcentral lists this long non-coding RNA (564 nucleotides) under Homo sapiens (human). RNAcentral describes it as "long non-coding RNA NONHSAT212911". Lineage: Eukaryota; Metazoa; Chordata; Mammalia; Primates; Hominidae. The record is from RNAcentral.
ACUGCACCUCCAGACCAGACCUCAGAGUCGGGGCCACUGCACCUCCAGACCAGACCUCAGAGUCGGGGCCACUGCACCUCCAGACCAGAUCGCAGAGUCGGGGCCACUGCACCUCCAGACCAGACCUCAGGAUCGGGGCCACUGCACCUCCAGACCAGAUCGCAGAGUCGGGGCCACCGCACCUCCAGACCAGACCGCAGGGUUGGGGCCACCGCACCUCCAGACCAGAUCACAGAGUCGGGGCCACUGCACCUCCAGACCAGACCGCAGGGUCGGGGCCACCGCACCUCCAGACCAGAACUCAGAGUCGGUGCUACCGCAGAGUCAGGGCCACUGCAUCUCCAGACCAGAUCGCAGAGUCAGGGAGCCAUCGUAUGGGGCUCCCCAUGAAGCGCUGCCUUCAGAUGGGGCAUCUGUGGAGGGACUUGUGUAAGUGGACUGUGUUUAGUGAGAGAGAGAAGCUGGUUUCUAAAAAGGAUUUUUUUGUUUUACUUUGGAAUAUUUUACUGUGGACCAAGGAGAAAUGAUUAUUGUGCUUUUGAUGGUCAGUGAUACAUAAGGAGA